This 73-nucleotide transfer RNA is filed under the name Paramuricea clavata. It matches the Rfam family "tRNA". From Rfam's summary of the family: Transfer RNA (tRNA) molecules are approximately 80 nucleotides in length. Their secondary structure includes four short double-helical elements and three loops (D, anti-codon, and T loops). Further hydrogen bonds mediate the characteristic L-shaped molecular structure. tRNAs have two regions of fundamental functional importance: the anti-codon, which is responsible for specific mRNA codon recognition, and the 3' end, to which the tRNAs corresponding amino acid is attached (by aminoacyl-tRNA synthetases). tRNAs cope with the degeneracy of the genetic code in two manners: having more than one tRNA (with a specific anti-codon) for a particular amino acid; and 'wobble' base-pairing, i.e. permitting non-standard base-pairing at the 3rd anti-codon position. Lineage: Eukaryota; Metazoa; Cnidaria; Anthozoa; Malacalcyonacea; Plexauridae. The record is from Rfam by way of RNAcentral.
GACCGCGUAGCUCAGUUGGCAGAGCAUUGGGCUAGUAUUCCAAAGGUCGUAGGUUCGAUUCCCACUGUGGUCA